Molecule: ribosomal RNA, 393 nt
Filed under: uncultured bacterium
Lineage: Bacteria
Description: partial 16S ribosomal RNA
Rfam family: Bacterial small subunit ribosomal RNA
Source: RNAcentral
AUACGUAGGGGGCUAGCGUUAUCCGGAAUUACUGGGCGUAAAGGGUGCGUAGGUGGUUUCUUAAGUCAGAAGUGAAAGGCUACGGCUCAACCGUAGUAAGCUUUUGAAACUAAGAGACUUGAGUGCAGGAGAGGAGAGUAGAAUUCCUAGUGUAGCGGUGACAUGCGUAGAUAUUAGGAGGAAUACCAGUUGCGAAGGCGGCUCUCUGGACUGUAACUGACACUGAGGCACGAAAGCGUGGGGAGCAAACAGGAUUAGAUACCCUGGUAGUCCACGCCGUAAACGAUGAGUACUAGCUGUCGGGGGUUACCCCCCUCGGUGGCGCAGCUAACGCAUUAAGUACUCCGCCUGGGAAGUACGCUCGCAAGAGUGAAACUCAAAUGAAUUGACGGG